Molecule: ribosomal RNA, 520 nt
Filed under: Erwinia sp.
Lineage: Bacteria; Pseudomonadati; Pseudomonadota; Gammaproteobacteria; Enterobacterales; Erwiniaceae
Description: bacterial SSU rRNA
Rfam family: Bacterial small subunit ribosomal RNA
Source: RNAcentral
CUUCUUGGGUGACGAGUGGCGGACGGGUGAGUAAUGUCUGGGAAACUGCCCGAUGGAGGGGGAUAACUACUGGAAACGGUAGCUAAUACCGCAUAACGUCUUCGGACCAAAGUGGGGGACCUUCGGGCCUCACGCCAUCGGAUGUGCCCAGAUGGGAUUAGCUAGUAGGUGGGGUAACGGCUCACCUAGGCGACGAUCCCUAGCUGGUCUGAGAGGAUGACCAGCCACACUGGAACUGAGACACGGUCCAGACUCCUACGGGAGGCAGCAGUGGGGAAUAUUGCACAAUGGGCGCAAGCCUGAUGCAGCCAUGCCGCGUGUAUGAAGAAGGCCUUCGGGUUGUAAAGUACUUUCAGCGGGGAGGAAGGCGAUGCGGUUAAUAACCGCGUCGAUUGACGUUACCCGCAGAAGAAGCACCGGCUAACUCCGUGCCAGCAGCCGCGGUAAUACGGAGGGUGCAAGCGUUAAUCGGAAUUACUGGGCGUAAAGCGCACGCAGGCGGUCUGUCAAGUCAGAUGUG